Molecule: non-coding RNA, 3555 nt
Organism: Malus domestica (apple)
Lineage: Eukaryota; Viridiplantae; Streptophyta; Magnoliopsida; Rosales; Rosaceae
Source: RefSeq, a predicted model, not a curated record
CUUCCUCUUCAUCUUCCAGGCCAGCAGCUCGUAUAAACGGCAAACGAAUUUCGAAAUUUGAAAUUUAAAUUCAAAACUGCUCUUGAGUCCGACCGUUGAACCGCCUUAUAGCGGCAGUGCUGGCUAUGUAUAACUAUAAUCCCCUCCCAUUCCCAACGGCACAUUGCUUCUUGCAAACUCUAACACCCCCUAAUCACUCCCUCUCUCUCUCUCUCUCUCUCUCUCCGCCUCUCUGUGAAUAUCUGAUCCUAAACCCUAACCCCACUCUGUUGACUGCUGAUCGGAAACCCUAACCUCACUCUGUCAUUCUGUUGAGUUGAUUUGGUAUUGUGAGAAUGAAUUCGAAUUUGAAUCUUUUGUCGGAGGUCGCGGUGGUUCUCCGGAAUUGGGAGGAAGACAAAAGAUGGCUUUUUGACGAGUACUCUAUCGUUGCAGAUUUCAUCCGUUUCUGUGCUGCUGUGAAAUCGAAAUCGUUCCUGAUCGUUCCGAGGAAGAAACGGUCAUCUCUGAGAAGGAGGCCCAACAAGAAAACAAAUUUCGGGUUUCCGUUGGUCCCGGUCAUCAUUCCCAAGAAGAGGAGGUCUCUGAGAAGGAGGGCAGCCGCAUCUCUGGGGAUGACAUCCACAAAUCUGAAAAGGAAGCGGCUUUCUGGGUGUGAAUCUUCUACAAACAACGGUGCUGGGCAUGAAGGAUUUCUUCUUCGGAAGAAACAGAAGAUCGUUGAUCCGAUCCGUGGUGGUUGAGUUGUUCAAUUCUGACGACCCUUACUUUACCACAGCGAGAUAGGUUUGCUUGUUGGUUCAAUUUUAUAGCUUUAUUUUUGGAAGAAUUCAACUUCACCUACUAGAUUUUGCAUGAAACCCUAAUUUCCCCAAGUUUUUGAAUGUGGUCAAGGAUCCGGCAGUGAAGCACAUGGAUUGAAAAGAAACAGAUAAACCUUUAAUUCUGAUAUUUAUCAGGUUAUACAAUGUAGUAUAGAAUCUUCUCUAAUAACUCCACAUGGGUAGGCGUAGGAUGAUCUGCUGCACAGUCGAGUCGGUUUUAUUCUUCAAUGCAACUUCUUCGCAUCUAGAUUAUUGUACAUGCCUGAGUUUCGCGGCUGCUGAUAUUAUGGCCCUACUUUUAGAUGUCUCUUUUUUUAAAGCAAUGAUAGCUAUGAUAACUUGUCCGUUGCUAGAAUUGAGUCUUUUUGCGGGUGCUGAAUAUAGGGUGAAUUUUAUGUUUGUUUUUGGAAAUUAUUGUUUCAGCUGUGUACUUGAAUAAUUGAAUGAGUGAUUUGACUGUCCGAGUGUAUGUUUCUUGACAUUUAGCUUCUGUUUGUCAAGGCGCUGUUGUGUUCCAACUCUUGAAGAGACAGUGCCAUAUAUACCAAACAAAUAAGAGUCGGACAGUUUCACUGGGUUGGGUGGAAGUUGUAAAACUAAAAAGCAACCUGUAUUGAGCCUAUUGACCAAUGGCUGUGUUGUAGGACCAUGUAGACGGAAAGCGUAUGCAGUCAGAAUAGAUAUACAUCCUCUACAGGUUGCAAUGCUGGGAACAGUAACCGUCAAUCUGCCCACCAUUUACAGAAGUUGAGCUUUGCCGGGAACAUUUGGCCACUUUCUGGAAUUGAUUGGAGUGAUAAUGUAAUUGUAAGUUUUACAACAAAUCUAAUAGAUCGAACUAUUUCGUGAACUUAUGUGAUACUGAUUUAAGCUAUAGAUUUCAGCUCUUUUGGCUUUGGUUCUUGUAUUGGCAAUGUGGAAAGGUAAGCUUCCACUUUCUUGUUAUCUUUCUUCUAUUCUUGUUUCUAUGCAACUUCACGAAUUGUGAGUUUUGUUCAGUGCUAGUUGAUGUUGCAGGCGACAGAUGACAGUGAGUCUUUCGUCAUUUCCUUUUCCGGAAUCAAUAUGAUUUUCAUACACUAGUUUUGUCUGUGUCCAAUAAUUCGACUUGAUUUCUUACAAAAUUAUUCCUGCCUUGUUUCUUAGUAGAUUAUCUACAACAUUAUUACUCUAUUCAGGGACGAGAGGACAAGACUCAGUAGACAUAUCUGAUUAAUUACCUCAUUUAUUCUAUUACAGAAACAAACGACUCCCGAGACCACGCUGAUAAUAAUAGUUUCCAACUUCGCUUUUAUUGAAAUUGGUUUCUCUAAGAAUUUGUUUUAAUCUCUUAUCAUAAGUAUACAAAGUUUAAGAAUUUAAUUGUGUGUACAGUUGUGAUGCUGCAGAAUCGCUAAUGCUUCCUACCAGGUACAAUGUUUUAAACUUUAAAUUUUGUAUCUGCAGUUGUUUUUCAAUUGACGUGAUUUGUAAGCACAAUAUCCUAAUACAGUUUCCAAUUUUUCUUUUAUUAUAUAUGAAGAUAUAUGUUCAUUCCAUCUAGAAUUUCAAAUUUCAACAGCUGAGACUUUAUAACUUUAACUGGUAUUGAAGAAAGGUUUCUGAGAGAUUACCAAAUGUCCAACACAAUGGUAUCGAAUUUAUGCCUUGCAUUACGAUGGCUAUAGCCGUGUCUACUAGCGACAGUUAUUAUAUCCUGUUAUGCACCAUGUUCAUGUAUUUCGGUGAAGGAGAGUGGAAUUAGAAAUUAGGAAGUCAUAAUGCUGCGAAUCUGGAACAACCAAACGUGAAUACUCUCUUCAUUCAGACUACGAAGUAGAAUAAUUCAAUCCAGUUUUUCUUCUUAUUAUUAUUUCUGGCAGGAGAUAUGGCUCCAUCGCUCCUUAUUUCUUGAUCAUUCUAAAUCGAAAGUUAUAUCGUUCUAGGUGAUAUGAGACUAUAAUUGCUUAAUGUGACCUCAUCGUUCAUUUCAGCUUUGUCAAGUUCUGGGAUACCGAAGUUUGGAAAGUGUUUCCGUACAGACAUGCGUCAUCUGGAGUAAAUUGACAAGGUUAGUUUGAAGUGUAUGAUCAGUGGUGCUAAUUUACCACAGAUCAAGUGUCGUAAUGCAUGAAUGACCUAUUCAAUAAUGAAUAUGAAUUGAGCAUUUUUGUCCACCUCGGUGGUGUCAUGUAGCUGACCUCACUUAGUAGGAAAAGACUUUGUUGUUGUUGUUGUUGGUGGUGGUGUCAGGAUGUUUGCCAUUAGUUUAUAUCGUCGAAAGCCGCACAAAUUAGCAGGAAGUCAUCAACUAACUAAUUAUGCUUACACUUUAUAGUUUCAGUUUUUGGUCAGUCGGUUGUUAUAUAUGUCGCUACGAGUAGAGAAUAUGCUUUGGAUAUGGUUUAUGGUUUCAGUCUUCAAUCGCUGCCAUUGCUUUGUUGCUGAAAUAGCUGGAGAUCUAGUUAGUGUAUGUGCGUGUGAGACUAACUAUGUUUGCUUUUGUAGAUUGUGAGUAUUGAAUUAUUUUUGAGUUGAGCGAUAGCGUUACUGGGUUGUUGGGGCAAAGAGAAUUGGUGGGGAUUGAAUUUGCACCAGGAUGCAUAACCAUGAUUGCUUUCGGCCAUUGCGUUAAAGCACCACAUGCAGUGUGUUAAAGCGCCAUAUGCAAUAUAUACUGAAUGAUUGAUAGUUAUUGGUCCUCCUAUUUUCCCUCUUGUAAGUUUCAGCUUAUAACACUUCUUUUCAAUCA